This 2256-nucleotide long non-coding RNA is filed under the name Homo sapiens (human). RNAcentral describes it as "HSALNT0190182". The record is from RNAcentral. Lineage: Eukaryota; Metazoa; Chordata; Mammalia; Primates; Hominidae.
CUUUGGACUUGGACUUUCGGGUUAAUGCUGAAAUGAGCUAAGACUUUGGAGGACUAUUGGAAAGGCAUGAUUGAUUUUGAAAUGUGAGGGCAUGAGAUUUGGGAGUGUCCAGGUUUGGCUGUGUCCCCACUCAAAUCUCAUCUUGAAUUUUGGUUCCCAUAAAUCUCAUGUGUUGUGGGAGGGACACACGGAAUUGAAUCACACACAUGAUUCAAUUACCUAUGAUAGGAGGUGAUUGAAUCAUGCAGGCAGUUAUCCCCAUGCUGUUCUCGUGAUAGUGAAUUCUCAUGAGAUCUGAUGGUUUUAUAAGGGGCUUUUCCACCUUGGCUUGGCACUUUUUCCGUCCCCCACAUGAAGAAGGACGUGUUUGCUUCCCCUUCCACCAUGAUUUAAGCUUCCUGAGGCCUCCCCAGCCCUACAGAACUGUGAGUCAAUUAAACUAAUUUCCUUUACUAAUUAUCCAGUCUUGGAUAUGUCCUUAUGAGAGACAGGACUAGCUGGAUUUCCUAGGCCGACUAAGAAUCCCUAAGCCUAGCUGGGAAGGUGACUGCAUCCACCUUUAAACACGGGGCUUGCAACUUAGCUCACAUUCGACCAAUCAGGUAAUUAAAAAAAGCUCACUAAAGUGCUAAUUAGGCAAAAACAGGAGGUAAAGAAAUAGCUAAUCAUCUAUCGCCUGAGAGCACAGCGGGAGGCAGAAUGAUCGGGACAUAAACCCAGGCAUUCGAGCCAGCAAGUUACCCUCUUUGGGUCCCCUCCCUUUGUAUGGGAGCUCUGUUUUCACUCUAUUAAAUCUUGCAACUGCACUCUCUUUUGGUCCGUGUUUGUUACGGCUCGAGCUGAGCUUUCACUCGCCGCCCACCACUGCUGUUUGCUGCCGUCGGAGACCCGCCGUUGACUUCCAUCCCUCCAGAUCCAGCAGGGUGUCCGCUGUGCUCCUGAUCCAGUGAGGCACCCAUUGCCGCUCCGGAUCAGGCUAAAGGCUUGCCAUUGUUCCUGCACAGCUAAGUGCCCGGGUUCAUCCUAAUCGAGCUGAACACUAGUCACUGGGUUCCACUGUUCUCUUCCAUGACCCACGGCUUCUAAUAGAGCUAUAACACUCACCGCAUGAUCCAAGAUUCCAUUCCUUGGAAUCCAUGAGGCUAAGAACCCCAGGUCAGAGAACACAAGGCUUGCCACCGUCUUGGAAGCAGCCUGCCACCAUGUUGGGAGCUCUGGAAGCAAGGACCCCCCAGUAACAUUUUGGCGACCACGAAGGGACCUCCAAAAUGGAAAGAUGAAAGAAUGAAUGAGUGCAUCAUUACAAAAGUGACAAAUUGUAAUUUUAAGAAGUCCUUCACCAUAGAGAGUCUGAGAAGCACUGCUUUAGAGCACCUGUUACAGGGACCCUGGACCUCAAGAGGACUUGGGAUCGACCUCCCCACCAAACUGACUGAGGACUGUGUAUUCUGCUGAUCUUCUGCAUAGCAACAGACCUGGUUUACCUUCAGAGACUCAUCAAACUAUCUGAGAGAAUGCAAUUCCUUUAAGAUCUCUUUUCUCUGUGUGUGUGUUUUUAAAUAUACUCUUGCAUUUUAGUAGUUAAUUGAGAUGGGAUUCAUGCAUGAGAGAUUUACUGAAUUUGUAUCUGAUUAGCCAGGGCCACUUUAUACUCUGUAAUUGUAGAUGUGGUUUUUAAACUGACAAUUGUAAGUUUGCAUGUAUUCUUUUUCUCCUAACUCUGUUUAGACUUUGUAUUCAGGAUAGAAAUUACCUUUUCUAAGAAGUUUUACCAAGCUGAGUGUAAAUCUAUAAUACCUCAGCAGUAAAACAAUCCCAGAGGGAUAAUUUUGUGCAACCAUUUCAAUCUUGAUACCAAUUAAAAUGGUAUGAUCUAUCUCACCGCCAUCACACAAAACAGGUUUCUAUGCCAUCUCCUCACCUCUUGCUUAGAGAAAACCAUCAGAUUGGUUCUAUUACACUCAGAUUUAAGAUCAAACAUCUUUUUUUCAGAGCUUUAUGGAUUCUAAUAACAAUAGAAAGUACUGAAAUAAGCCUAUUUUCGUGGCUGCCUUUCAAUCAGUAUGUAACACACUUUCCAUUUUGUCUUCACCAGAAAUAAAUUGUACUUUAAAUCUCUGCUCUCCUUAAAUAUUUCAAAUAUGUGGGAUAUGAUAUCAUCUCUAAAAAGGGAACUUCUUUAGAUGGCAUUGUUAGGAAGCCUUAGCAAAAGCAUUUUGCAAGCUAGUAACAUAAUUCUAGAACAGGUUUUAUUGC